CACAGUGGCUUUGUCCCAAAUCAGGGGCAGCAUCCUUCGGAGUGCGCAUUUAAAGUGCGAUUACGUCACAACUCCGCGCGAAGGCUGCCCCAAUUCAAAGGAUCCUCCAAAUGCUCCCCACAUAUGCUGUCUGCUUUUCCUUCAUCCUGGGGAUGCACCGCCACUAUCCUUUGCGGCUAAAUUGCCCAAGAUUCAUUGCGCGCCCGAAGAGAUGAGAGAAAGAAAGAAAUAACGGCGACCUCAAGUGGCAUAUUAAACGAUUGCAAAUAUCCAGGGACAGGAGAGGGUCAGCGGAAGGCCCAGUGCUGCUACUGGGUCCUGGUUUGUCCUCAUGGAUGAGGUCUUCGGACAGAGGCGUACCACUGCCCCCCUGUCCUAACUGCCUCCAUCCCUGAGGAUGCACAGGGCCAAGUGACCAGGAAUAGGGGGAAGAUGACGAUGAGGAGGAGGAGAGCCAGCCAGGGCCGAGGAGGAAGAGGAGGAGGCAGGAUGAAGGAGGACAUGAGGCUGCAGAGAGAGGAUGGAGAGGCUCUUCUGUCUGCUCCAGAUGACAAUCCUUACAUUAUUUCUGUUAUUUAGUUCAUUUAUGAGUUCUUUUUUAAAUUAUUUGUUCAUAAUUGUUCAUUUUACAUAAUUCAUGAAAUAAAAUAAAAUUUAAUGAAUAAAUUGUUCUCUUGUUA
Long non-coding RNA from Acanthopagrus latus (yellowfin seabream), 680 nucleotides. RefSeq lists it as uncharacterized. The transcript is spliced from 2 exons. The record is from RefSeq and is a predicted model, not a curated record. Lineage: Eukaryota; Metazoa; Chordata; Actinopteri; Spariformes; Sparidae.